GGAGGGUGCAAGCAUUUAAUCGGAAUUAUUGGGGCGUAAAGGGCGCGUAGGUGGCAUGGAAAGUCAGAUACGAAAUUUCGCAGCUCAACUGCGAAAGUGUUUCUGAAACUAUCAAGCUAGAGUAUAUACGGAGAAAAUAGAAUUUCACAUGUAGCGGUGAAAUGUGUAGAUAUGUGAAGGAAUACCGGUGGCGAAAGCGGUUUUCUAGUAUAUAACUGACACUGAGACGCGAAAGCAAGGGUAGCAAACAGGAUUAGAUACCCUGGUAGUCCUUGCCGUAAACGAUGUAUACUUGAUGUAGAAGGACUCAACCCCUUUUGUGUCGAAGCUAGCGCGAUAAGUAUACCGCCUGAGGAGUACGCUCGCAAGGGUG
RNAcentral lists this ribosomal RNA (373 nucleotides) under uncultured organism. Its description in RNAcentral is "partial 16S ribosomal RNA". It matches the Rfam family "Bacterial small subunit ribosomal RNA", at positions 527 to 896 of the family's 1533-position model. The record is from RNAcentral.